Phocoena sinus (vaquita) is the source of this 1786-nucleotide long non-coding RNA. The record is from Ensembl. NCBI's taxonomy places the organism in Eukaryota, Metazoa, Chordata, Mammalia, Artiodactyla, Phocoenidae.
AUUUUUCCAAAGACAUAUUUCAAUGCAUAGAAGGGGGAAAUUACUUCACUUUUAUUUAGCAUCUCCCGAAACUUUCUUUGUUUCAGGGAAAGCUGGAGUCAAGUGACUUUCUCCUUUGUAUAUCUGAGCAACGCCGUUUCUCCAUCUCUGUAUAAAGGUAAAUCUGAAAGCUUAGUCAUCAGCAUUCAGUGUAGAUUGGCCAUACAGCACAAGAUCAACCCAUAGAACAGAAUUGGCACAGCCCUUCUUCCUGACUUGCCUGCGACUUGUUAACCUGGAAGAAAAGGUAAAGAGAAUCAUAGGGAGGAGGUCAGCCCUGCCAUCACUGAGCCAAUAAACUAAGGCCAGCCGCCACUUUUGUCCAGACUGCUGUGACGUAAGAGUUACAAACCUCUUUGUUCAAGCUAUUGAUAGACAUUCUAUUAUUCACAGUGGGGAGCAUUCCUAACUGAUACCCGACUCACUAUGACAAUGGAAAUCCUAACCACUGUCACGUUCAGAGACUGGAGCUGAGCAUGCAUGUGGCAGAAGAUGGAAACAGACAUGGUACACAGUGCUUAGGGUUCAGGGCCGUGGAAAGGGAAAAGGCAGUGAUCCUGGUUUAAGAGCCUCAUACUUUUGUUUGGGAAACCAAACUUGUGACAUGGUCUGAUCAGAUGCCAUCUGAAAUAUCUGCUCUAGUUCCGAAGACCGUUUCUUAAGAUGGACAUUAUCUAAGGUUAGCCUAGGAUAGUCAAGACGUUGGAAAACAUGCCAUGAAAAGAAAGGUUGAAAUAAGAGAAUUCUAGCAACAAGGAUGUUGAUAAAUGGAAGGCGUUGUUGCAUUAGGUAGAGCAUUGUAUGUACUUCACCUUUGCUGUACUAGGCAGCAAUCUUGCGGUCUCUAGACUCGGUCAUAGCUAGUCCCAAUCUGGGUUCCAGCCCCUAUUAGCCACAUGGUCUUGACAAAGCUGUUAAAGCUCACUAUCUCUCUGAUGUAAAACUUGGUGACUGUAGUUGAUGAUGCUGUAUUAUAUAAUUGAAAUUUGCUGAGAACUUAAAUGCUCUCACAAAAACAAAAGAACAAACCCCCACUACCUCAUACCUCCAAACCUCAAUAUCCUCAUCCUUAAAAUGGAGACAAUAAUGGAAUCAAGCUCAUGGAUAUGUGUGAAAAAUAAAUGAAAUAGUCCCUGUAAUACGCUUAACUCAAUGCCUGGAACACAGUAAAUAUUCAAUAAAUGUUACUGGUAUUAUUUUGAGAAGUAAUUAAGUACAUGGACUCUGGAGUCAGAAUACCUGGAUUUAAACCCUAAAUUCAUCAUUUGCUGGCCAUGUAACCUCGAGUCCAUCUGUUUCCUCACCUGUAAAAUGGGGAUAAUGAUAGCACCACCAUCAAAGGAUAAUUAUGAGUAUUAAAUAGUGGAAGUGAAGCUUUCGGCACAGUUAAGUGCCCGAUAAAUGUUGGCUUUUAUUAUUAUUGUUAGCUAGACCUUGAGCAAUAUAAAAACUUGAUCGAAUUCUUGUUCUCAAAAUGCUUAUUAUUUUAGUUUCUAAAAACUGAGAGAUGGGGAUAUAUGUAUAGCUGAUUCACUUUGUUAUAAAGCAGAAACUAACACACCAUUGUAAAGCAAUUAUACUCUAAUAAAGGCAUUAAAAAAAACAGAGAAUUCAAAAAAUGAUGUAUGUGCAAGAGGAGAUCAGGGAGGGAAAUAAUCAGCUGAGGCUGGAAAGGUUAGGGGGAACGUGGUGGAGGAAGUAGGAUUUCAGGUGAUGGGUAGAAUGGAUGUGGGGGGAAUGGAGAGAG